This is a small nucleolar RNA of Piliocolobus tephrosceles (Ugandan red Colobus), 68 nucleotides long. Its record names the gene SNORD115. It matches the Rfam family "Small nucleolar RNA SNORD115". From Rfam's summary of the family: HBII-52 is a member of the C/D class of snoRNAs, which contain the C (UGAUGA) and D (CUGA) box motifs. HBII-52 is encoded in a tandemly repeated array with another C/D snoRNA, HBII-85, in the Prader-Willi syndrome (PWS) region of chromosome 15. HBII-52 is exclusively expressed in the brain but is absent in PWS patients. NCBI's taxonomy places the organism in Eukaryota, Metazoa, Chordata, Mammalia, Primates, Cercopithecidae. The record is from Ensembl.
GAAUAAAGAGUGUCUUCAGGGGACAUGAUAAUGUAAAAAUCACGCUCAGUAGGAUUAAGCUAAGGCUC